AGAGUUUGAUCCUGGCUCAGAUUGAACGCUGGCGGCAGGCCUAACACAUGCAAGUCGAGCGGUAGAGAGAAGCUUGCUUCUCUUGAGAGCGGCGGACGGGUGAGUAAUGCCUAGGAAUCUGCCUGGUAGUGGGGGAUAACGUUCGGAAACGGACGCUAAUACCGCAUACGUCCUACGGGAGAAAGCAGGGGACCUUCGGGCCUUGCGCUAUCAGAUGAGCCUAGGUCGGAUUAGCUAGUUGGUGAGGUAAUGGCUCACCAAGGCGACGAUCCGUAACUGGUCUGAGAGGAUGAUCAGUCACACUGGAACUGAGACACGGUCCAGACUCCUACGGGAGGCAGCAGUGGGGAAUAUUGGACAAUGGGCGAAAGCCUGAUCCAGCCAUGCCGCGUGUGUGAAGAAGGUCUUCGGAUUGUAAAGCACUUUAAGUUGGGAGGAAGGGCAGUUACCUAAUACGUGAUUGUUUUGACGUUACCGACAGAAUAAGCACCGGCUAACUCUGUGCCAGCAGCCGCGGUAAUACAGAGGGUGCAAGCGUUAAUCGGAAUUACUGGGCGUAAAGCGCGCGUAGGUGGUUUGUUAAGUUGGAUGUGAAAUCCCCGGGCUCAACCUGGGAACUGCAUUCAAAACUGACUGACUAGAGUAUGGUAGAGGGUGGUGGAAUUUCCUGUGUAGCGGUGAAAUGCGUAGAUAUAGGAAGGAACACCAGUGGCGAAGGCGACCACCUGGACUGAUACUGACACUGAGGUGCGAAAGCGUGGGGAGCAAACAGGAUUAGAUACCCUGGUAGUCCACGCCGUAAACGAUGUCAACUAGCCGUUGGGAGCCUUGAGCUCUUAGUGGCGCAGCUAACGCAUUAAGUUGACCGCCUGGGGAGUACGGCCGCAA
RNAcentral lists this ribosomal RNA (888 nucleotides) under Pseudomonas sp. AKB-2008-JO33. RNAcentral's name for it is "bacterial SSU rRNA". It matches the Rfam family "Bacterial small subunit ribosomal RNA", at positions 8 to 891 of the family's 1533-position model. Lineage: Bacteria; Pseudomonadati; Pseudomonadota; Gammaproteobacteria; Pseudomonadales; Pseudomonadaceae. The record is from RNAcentral.